This 375-nucleotide unclassified non-coding RNA is filed under the name soil metagenome. Its description in RNAcentral is "partial contains 5.8S ribosomal RNA, internal transcribed spacer 2, and large subunit ribosomal RNA". The stretch from base 1 to 120 matches the Rfam family "5.8S ribosomal RNA", at positions 35 to 154 of the family's 154-position model. The record is from RNAcentral.
GAUGAAGAACGCAGCGAAAUGCGAUAAGUAAUGUGAAUUGCAGAAUUCAGUGAAUCAUCGAAUCUUUGAACGCACAUUGCGCCCGCCAGUGUUCUGGCGGGCAUGCCUGUUCGAGCGUCAUUUCAACCCUCAAGACCCCUUCGGGGGACUUGGUGUUGGGGACCGGCACAGGGGCCUGCCUGCUUGUCUUGCAGCGCCCUCGCCGCCCCCGAAAUGAAUUGGCGGCCUCGUCGCGGCCUCCCCUGCGUAGUAGCACAACCUCGCAACGGGAACGUGACGGCGGCCACUGCCGUAAAACAACCCCAAUUUUAUUAGAGUUGACCUCGAAUCAGGUAGGAAUACCCGCUGAACUUAAGCAUAUCAAUAAGCGGAGGA